RNAcentral lists this ribosomal RNA (728 nucleotides) under Liolaemus darwinii. RNAcentral describes it as "partial 12S ribosomal RNA". It matches the Rfam family "Bacterial small subunit ribosomal RNA", at positions 270 to 1368 of the family's 1533-position model. The record is from RNAcentral. Lineage: Eukaryota; Metazoa; Chordata; Lepidosauria; Squamata.
AAAGCACCAAGGAGCAGGUAUCAGGCACAACCCGUUAGCCCAAAACACCUUGCUACGCCACACCCACACGGGCACCCAGCAGUGAUAAACAUUAAGCUAUGAGUGAAAGCCAACUUAAGCUCGACUUAGUUAUGAUUAUUCGGGUCGGUAAACCUCGUGCCAGCCACCGCGGUUAUACGAGGGACCCAAAACAACGGACACCGGCGUAAAUUGUGACUAGAGCAUCUACUUAUAACAUUGGGAAAUAAAUAAAAACUCAACAGUAAAACCUGAGUUAAAAGAAAUAUAUUCUCCCAACUACAAAGGAACUUGAACCCACGAAGACUAAGAAACAAACUAGGAUUAGAUACCCUACUAUGCUUAGUUGUCAACACGAUACCAAAAAACAUCGGUAUCCGCCAGAAAAUUACACGCGAAAAGCUUAAAACUCAAAGGACUUGGCGGUGCUCCGUACUCGCCUUAGAGGAGCCUGUCCUAUAAUCGAUAACCCACGCUUUACCUUACCAUCUUUUGUAAAAACAGCCUAUAUACCGCCGUCGCAAACUUACCCCGUGAGGGUAUAACAGUAAGUAAAAUAGUAACGCACGAAUACGUCAGGUCAAGGUGUAGCUAAUAAGAUGGAAGAGAUGGGCUACAUUUUCUAAAACAGAAUAUACGGCAAAGAACAUUGAAACAUGCUCUAAAAGGUGGAUUUAAUAGUAAGAUAGAAAAGAGUGCCUAUCUAAAAC